UACGGGGGGGGCAAGCGUUGUUCGGAAUUACUGGGCGUAAAGGGCGCGUAGGCGGCCUUCUAAGUCGGACGUGAAAUCCCUCGGCUUAACCGAGGAACUGCGUCCGAUACUGAAAGGCUUGAAUCCGGGAGAGGGAUGUGGAAUUCCAGGUGUAGCGGUGAAAUGCGUAGAUAUCUGGAGGAACACCGGUGGCGAAGGCGGCAUCCUGGACCGGUAUUGACGCUGAGGCGCGAAAGCUAGGGGAGCAAAC
RNAcentral lists this ribosomal RNA (250 nucleotides) under uncultured bacterium. Its description in RNAcentral is "partial 16S ribosomal RNA". It matches the Rfam family "Bacterial small subunit ribosomal RNA", at positions 524 to 773 of the family's 1533-position model. The record is from RNAcentral.